RNAcentral lists this ribosomal RNA (371 nucleotides) under uncultured bacterium. RNAcentral describes it as "partial 16S ribosomal RNA". It matches the Rfam family "Bacterial small subunit ribosomal RNA", at positions 355 to 717 of the family's 1533-position model. The record is from RNAcentral.
UGGGGAAUUUUGGACAAUGGGCGAAAGCCUGAUCCAGCAAUGCCGCGUGUGUGAAGAAGGCCUUCGGGUUGUAAAGCACUUUUGUCCGGAAAGAAAUCCUUGGCUCUAAUACAGUCGGGGGAUGACGGUACCGGAAGAAUAAGCACCGGCUAACUACGUGCCAGCAGCCGCGGUAAUACGUAGGGUGCAAGCGUUAAUCGGAAUUACUGGGCGUAAAGCGUGCGCAGGCGGUUUGCUAAGACCGAUGUGAAAUCCCCGGGCUCAACCUGGGAACUGCAUUGGUGACUGGCAGGCUAGAGUAUGGCAGAGGGGGGUUAGAAUUCCACGUGUAGCAGUGAAAUGCGUAGAGAUGUGGAGGAAUACCGAUGGCG